This 300-nucleotide unclassified non-coding RNA is filed under the name Leucogyrophana sp. RNAcentral's name for it is "partial contains small subunit ribosomal RNA and internal transcribed spacer 1". The stretch from base 1 to 46 matches the Rfam family "Eukaryotic small subunit ribosomal RNA", at positions 1786 to 1831 of the family's 1831-position model. Lineage: Eukaryota; Fungi; Basidiomycota; Agaricomycetes; Boletales. The record is from RNAcentral.
AAGUCGUAACAAGGUUUUCGUAGGUGAACCUGCGGAAGGAUCAUUAUAGAUUCAUAGAGGGGCGGAAGGGGUUGUGCUGGCUAACCACUGGGUAGCAUCUGUGCACGCUUCUUUCACCUCUCGACCCACACACCAGUGCACCAACCAGUUCGUAGCGCUCGAAACCUCCGAAAGGGGGUGGAAAAACGCUACGACUCACCUCCCACCAUGUAUGUCCAUAGAAUGUAAACCCUUAUUAACCAUCUGCUGCUUCGUAAAGAAGUGGACGGUGGGUAAACAAAUUAUAACUUUCAGCAACGG